UGGUAGACGCUGCGGACUUAAUUGGAUUGAGCCUUGGUAUGGAAACCUACUAAGUGAUAACUUUCAAAUUCAGGGAAACCCCGGAAUUAAAAAAAAAAAGGGCAAUCCUGAGCCAAAUCCUGUUUUAUUUUAUAAAAAGAAAAGUUAAAAAACGGAUAGGUACAGAGACUCAACGGAAGCUGUUCUAGUAAAUGGGGGCACUGGUAAAGGAAUAUUUCCACUGAAACGUCAGAAACGAUCAAAGAUAAACCUAUCCUAUUGAAUAUUAUAUCAAAUGAUUAAUAAUGGCCCGAACCUAUAGAUGUAUUUUUUUAUAUGAAAAAUAUAAUUUUUAGUCAUAAAACUAUUCACUCAAUAGUACGAUAAACUUUUUCAAGAACCGAUCAAUCGGACAAGAAUAAAGAUAGAGUCCCCUUCUACAUGUCAAUACCGACAACAAUGAAAUUUAUAGUAAGAGGAAAAUCCGUUGACUUUAAAAAUCAUGAGGGUUCAAGUCCCUCUAUCCCCAAGCAAGCCUAUUUUACUUCCAAAAUAUUUAUCCUACCCUAUACCUUUCGCUUACAAAUUGGUUUAUUUUUAUGAUUCUUUGCCAAACGUAGGUGGGCGUAAAUUACUUUUUCCUCUCCCACGUGAUGUAGAAUACACAUCCAAAUGGAGCAAAGAAUCCCGAUUUAAAUUAUUCACAACCAAUAGCUUUACGAAUACUGAAAUUGAAAAAGAGGUCCUUUUGAAAAUUAAAUAAAUUAAAUUUAAGUAUUUGGGGAAAAAAUUGUAAUCUACCCCUACCUUUAAUUGACAUAGACCCCAGCCAUCGACUAAAAUCAUAAUGGGUUACUACGCAGGGAAUGGUCGGGAUAGC
Molecule: unclassified non-coding RNA, 859 nt
Filed under: Utricularia purpurea
Lineage: Eukaryota; Viridiplantae; Streptophyta; Magnoliopsida; Lamiales; Lentibulariaceae
Description: partial contains tRNA-Leu (trnL) gene and trnL-trnF spacer region
Rfam family: Group I catalytic intron (bases 10-433)
Source: RNAcentral